UACGGAGGAGGCAAGCGUUAUCCGGAAUUAUUGGGCGUAAAGCGUCCGCAGGUGGCGAUUCAAGUCUGCGGUCAAAGACUGGGGCUUAACCCUGGAAAGGCCGUGGAAACUGAAUAGCUAGAGUGCAGUAGGGGUAGAGGGAAUUCCCGGUGUAGCGGUGAAAUGCGUAGAGCUCGGGAAGAACAUCGGUGGCGAAAGCGCUCUGCUGGACUGCAACUGACACUCAGGGACGAAAGCUAGGGGGGCGAAUGGG
This 253-nucleotide ribosomal RNA is filed under the name uncultured bacterium. Its description in RNAcentral is "partial 16S ribosomal RNA". It matches the Rfam family "Bacterial small subunit ribosomal RNA", at positions 524 to 776 of the family's 1533-position model. The record is from RNAcentral.